RNAcentral lists this ribosomal RNA (250 nucleotides) under Pseudomonas sp. Its description in RNAcentral is "partial 16S ribosomal RNA". It matches the Rfam family "Bacterial small subunit ribosomal RNA", at positions 427 to 669 of the family's 1533-position model. Lineage: Bacteria; Pseudomonadati; Pseudomonadota; Gammaproteobacteria; Pseudomonadales; Pseudomonadaceae. The record is from RNAcentral.
AAAGCACUUUAAGUUGGGAGGAAGGGCAGUAAGUUAAUACCUUGCUGUUUUGACGUUACCAACAGAAUAAGCACCGGCUAACUUCGUGCCAGCAGCCGCGGUAAUACGAAGGGUGCAAGCGUUAAUCGGAAUUACUGGGCGUAAAGCGCGCGUAGGUGGUUCAGCAAGUUGGAUGUGAAAUCCCCGGGCUCAACCUGGGAACUGCAUCCAAAACUACUGAGCUAGAGUACGGUAGAGGGUGGUGGAAUUU